UAAGGAAUAUUGGGCAAUGGACGAAAGUCUGACCCAGCCAUGCCGCGUGAAGGAUGAAGGUCCUCUGGAUUGUAAACUUCUUUUAUCUGGGGCGAAAACCUCCCUUUCUAGGGGGCUUGACAGUACCAGAAGAAUAAGCACCGGCUAACUCCGUG
This 155-nucleotide ribosomal RNA is filed under the name uncultured Chitinophaga sp. RNAcentral describes it as "partial 16S ribosomal RNA". It matches the Rfam family "Bacterial small subunit ribosomal RNA", at positions 355 to 507 of the family's 1533-position model. The record is from RNAcentral. Lineage: Bacteria; Pseudomonadati; Bacteroidota; Chitinophagia; Chitinophagales; Chitinophagaceae.